RNAcentral lists this ribosomal RNA (263 nucleotides) under uncultured bacterium. Its description in RNAcentral is "partial 16S ribosomal RNA". It matches the Rfam family "Bacterial small subunit ribosomal RNA", at positions 78 to 339 of the family's 1533-position model. The record is from RNAcentral.
AUGAAUUCCAAAGAGGAAAGUGGCGGACGGGCGAGUAACGCGUGAGUAACCUGCCCAUAAGAGGGGGAUAAUCCAUGGAAACGUGGACUAAUACCGCAUAUUGUAGUUAAGUUGCAUGACUUGAUUAUGAAAGAUUUAUCGCUUAUGGAUGGACUCGCGUCAGAUUAGAUAGUUGGUGAGGUAAUGGCUCACCAAGUCAACGAUCUGUAGCCGAACUGAGAGGUUGAUCGGCCGCAUUGGGACUGAGACACGGCCCAGACUCC